This 258-nucleotide unclassified non-coding RNA is filed under the name uncultured Russulaceae. Its description in RNAcentral is "sequence contains ITS2". Lineage: Eukaryota; Fungi; Basidiomycota; Agaricomycetes; Russulales; Russulaceae. The record is from RNAcentral.
ACAUCCUCAACCUGCUUCGUUCUAUCGAACCAAGUAGGCUUGGAAUUUGGAGGUUUUUCUGCUGGCUUCCUCUGUGAAGCCAGCUCCUCUUAAAUCUAUCAGUGGGAUCCGCUUUGCUAGAUCCUCGACGUUGAUAAGAUGUUUCUACGUCUUGGGUUUCGCUCGGGAAAGGACCUGCUUCUAACCGUCCCCCCAUCGGGGACAAUGUUCGAGAGCCGAUCGCCCUUCACGGGGUGGGAAGCUUUUCGACCCAUGAAA